UCUGCGUUUCAUUAAUAUAGUUGUGCACACCAUUUGGGCUUUUAGUUUUGAUGGACUUCGUUUUUACUUUGGACUUCUGUGAGGGUUAGACCGUGUUCUUCUUCGUCACCUCUCCAGUUCUUCGCAAGAACUCUUUCAUAUUCUUCCUCAGAUACAGAAACAUACCAGUUACGAAUAAUCAUAUUAAAACCUCUCCAUUAAUCUCUCACAUACGAUUCAUAUUCAAUGCGAUUUCUAGAUCUGCAAGGCGGUGGAGGUUCAUCUAUAAAAAGACGCGCUCCUCCUCCUCCUCUGUUCAAGUCCGGUUGCUCUGUUUAUAGGAGGCCAGGAGUGACCGCCGUGGUGGAGAACUCAUGUGGGAGUGGAUGUACUCCUUCUCGAUUCUCAGGACUUUUGCGGUGGCGACCUUCGAUGGAGGUCUUCUCAGAGAUUUUAUCUAACUUUCCUGAAGCUUCACAGAGAUCUCAAAACGUCCACAGCCAUGGCGAUAAACAAAGUCCACGGAUUAUGCGGAACCAAUCAUACGUUUCCUUAGAUCUUUUCCUUUCCUCUUUUUUUGGUGUUGAGGAAUUCAUACUGUUUUCUUUGUGCUUCUGAACUCUUAUGUUGAUCCUGAGUACAAAGACUACAUAGGCUUAGCAAUGCCACCAGGUGAUGUAACUUUAAAGGUGUGGCUGAAUAGGUUUUCUAAGCUUUAAUCGCAAUUCUUAUCAGCCCCUCCAUCAUUCACCAAACAGAUUUAUGGGCCUACCAAAAUAGACAAGCAGAAACGUUUAUGCAGCUUUUUUGCCAUUUCUGCUGCUCUUCGUUUACAUGUAUAGCCCGGUCGGAGUUGGAGAACAGAGGUAGCAGCUGCAAAUACUGAAGGAAGAUGAGAGCUUGACUUCUUGAAUGGCAUCGACCUUUAUUCUCAAGUUAUGUGUCCAAGUCAUUUUUCUCAGUUCCACGCAACAAUGCUACUGGGACAAAGAGCACCAUGAUGAAAUCUAUCUCCAAUGGAAGCUACAAACACAAGUCACUAUUUGCAGUGGCGGACUCAGGUUUGAUUUUAAGGGAUGCAUAUUGGGCUAUAGCCCAACAUAAUCAAACAAUACUAAAAAGAACAUAUGAAGCCCUCUGAGCUAUGCCACAUCGGAUUAGAAAAUCAGCCACUAAAAUUACAGCAAUCCUCCGUAUCAUUAAUGAGUUGCCUGAUUUCUUAAAGACUGUGGGCCCCGCGUUCUGACCGGUUAUGAUUAGUCGAUUAGGUUUGGUGUUCUGUCUGAUUUUGGUUCUCCAUGUUCGGUUAGAUAUUAAGUCAAACUCUGCGUUUUCUCUUUCAAUAGAUUAGGGUUUAAUUUUUUUCGUUCUUCCAGUUUUCGAUAUCGCCGUCUCCGCUAAUCUUUGAACGCACACACACAAUUAUUUCUUCUCACAACUCUUAACCUUCCCUAUGUUCAAAGUAUUUCUCUUAAUUUCGCUAAUAAAUGUUAUUUUCAUUGAAACCAAAAAUGAUGACGACCUCUCUGUUUCCUUCACGUCAAACCUAUAAAUUGGAGAGGGUUGAGAGUUGGAUCUUGACAUGAAGAAAUGAAGCCUCGGAGGAGACAAUGGAGAAGGACAAUCCUCGGGUCAAUCGUCUCUUAUGCCAAGAAAUCCGCCACGCGGAUCAGCACCGGAGGGAAUUCAGUUAGAAAAAGCUUAAAAAUUGUAGUCGAGAAGGAAAAGCUUAAAAAUCUGAAGGAGUGUUCUGACUCAUGUUCGAUAAUAUUUCAUCCAGAAGGAUAAUGCUUGUGUUCUCCUUCCCAGCGAAGAUCCGCAUUGAACCAAGCUCGCUUAUGUUCCUUAGUUUGUGCUUUUGCUGCCGCUGGAUCUGUGGACACCAACUAAACUAUCUUUAGCUUCUGGACUACAGUCAACCUAAUGUCAUAGCGGCUCCUCGAAUCUAUCUAUAUCGGUAAGUAUAAAGAGCAUUGAGAAAGGGCUAUCUCAUCUUUCUAAAAGGUAAUGGAGAAACUAAUCAGAUGCUCUGUUCUUUCUUUCUUUUUCCCAUGACAAGCGUAAAAUUGGUGAUGGCGAUGAACUCUGCACCAAAUUGAAGUUAUGCUUAUAUUGUUUUUUGCCCCCUAUACUCUAAAUAAUUACCAUAACUAAAAAUAUUCUAAUUCAUAUAAAUAUAAAACAAAAGUCCAGUUUGUUUUUAUAUCUACAAUCCCAUAGUGAAUGGGCUUUAUUUAGUUUAGCAGAUCUAAUCCAGUUUAAAUAAAAAUAGUUUUUUAUUAAAUAAAUAGAAAAUAGGGAUAUUUGUUUUAGAAAAAUCAACUAGGUCACGUGUACUCGUCGUCGUCUUCUCAACUUCUUCUGUCGUCUUCUCAACUUCUUCUUCCCCUGCAAUUUUUUUCCACCGGCUAGAAUCACUCACGAAAUCUCCUGUCCAUGUAAGUUUCUUUUCUAUUUAUUUAAUUAAUUUAUAUGAUUAUAUCUAUUUUAAAUGUUUGUUUGAUUCUCUUUUUAUUGCUUUCUGUUCCAAAAUUGUCUGAUGAUAUGCUUUAAGGUUGUGACUUGUAAUGUUAAUGUAGAAUAAUUUUAGACCCAGCCUAAUAUUAUUAUAUAUGAUUUUGAGUUUAACGUGAAAAACUUAUUAGCUAAUAUGAUGAAUUGUGUUUAGUUUAGUAACAUGUUAAAAGUCUUAAUGUAAUUGACUUUAUAAUAAUUUACUAUUUCUACUGAUUUACAGAUAAAUAGAGCGAUAUUAUAACAAAAUGAGUGCUUCCGAUUCUAAAAGAAAUUUGGAUAAAUUGGAUAACUCUGAUGAUUUGGAUUCUUUGGCAUGGGAUCCAGCUGAAAGAAAAAAGAUAUCGCAGUAUCUUCCGAAUCAAAAAGACGAAGUAAGGCUGAAAUAUUUAACUAGAGGUCCAUGUCAACCCUAUGGCCAUGUUUUUCAAAAUAAGAAGUUUGGAACAGCAAUGAGGCGGUUUAAUCCAGCUUGGUUUGAGAAGUAUGGUAAUUGGCUAGAGUACAGCGUCUCCAAAGAUAAAGCAUUCUGUUUGUGUUGCUAUUUGUUCAGAGAUGACAUACUAAAACAAGGUGGAAAUUGGGCUUUUGUGACUGAAGGUUUUUCUUGUUGGAAAAAACCCGAGGCUUUAUCUGAGCAUUUAGGUGGAAAUAAUAGCUUUCAUAAUAUUGCUGUUAAGAGUUGUGAUGAUUUGAUGAAUCAAGGUCAGUCAAUUGUGCAUGCUUUUUAUAAGCAAGGCGAUGUGGUGAAAAAUGAAUAUCGCAUUCGGUUAAAUGCUUCAGUUGAUGCUUCUAGGUACUUGUUACGACAAGGAUUACCUUUUCGCGGUCAUGAUGAAGGAAAAGAUUCUGCUAAUAAAGGAAACUUUGUAGAGCUUUUGAAGUAUACCGGAGAAUAAAAUGACGCUGUACGUAAGGUUAUUUUGGAGAACGCUCCAAAAAAUAAUCAGAUGGUUUCUCAAGUGAUUCAGAAAGAUAUUGUACAUUCUUUUGCUCACGAAGUACUGAAAUCUAUCAUGGAAGAAAUCAAUCAUGGAGUGUUCGGUUUGAUGGUCGAUGAGUCUGCAGAUGUUUCUAACAAAGAGAAAAUGGCUGUUGUCUUUCGGUUUGUUAUAAAAGUGGAUUAGUUAAAGAGAUAUUUGUGGGAGUUACUCAUGUAAAAGACACGUCUUCUUUAUCUCUGAAAUCUGCAGUUGAUGACUUGUUUGCAAAACAUGGAUUGAGCCUGAAACAGUUGAGAGGGCAAGGUUAUGAUGGAGCAAGCAAUAUGAAGGGACAGUUUAAUUGGCUAAGAGCAUUGGUUGCUAGAGAAAAUAGUUCAGCCUAUUAUGUACAUUGUUUUGCUCAUCAACUUCAGCUAGUUGUGGUGGCAGUUGCGAAAAAGAGCUUUGAAGUUAGUAAUUUUUUUGACAUGGUUUCGACUUUGCUGAAUGUGGUUGUGGCUUCUUGCAAGAGGAAAUAUACACUUCUUGAUAUGAAUCGGAAGAGGGUGGAGGAAGGGAUUGACAGUGGUGACAUUAACACUGGAACGGGACAAAAUCAAGAGAUUUCUCUUCCAAGGCCUGGAAAUUCUCGUUGGGGUUCUCACUAUAAAACUUUGCUGCGUCUGGUUGAGUUGUUUCCUUCAGUCAUUGAAAUCCUUGAAAGUGUUCAAGAUGAAGGCGCUGAUGACUCAAAAAGAUGUCAAGCAUAUGGUCUUCUCAAGUAUUUUCACACAUUCGAUUGUGUGUUCUAUUUGCAGUUGAUGCUGUUUAUUUUGGGAGUAACUGAAGUUGUGGAUUCAACUAAGAUGAAGAAUCAAGAUAUUUCAAAUGAAGAAUCAAGAUAUUUUAAAUGCCGUGUCACUUGAACCGUAUGAAGAAUCAAGAUAUUUCAAAUGCCGUGUCACUUGUAGAUUCAACUAAACGGGAGUUGCAAACAUUUCGAGAAGAUGGAUGGGAUUUGCUAAUAGGUAAAGUUUCAUCAUUCUGCGAAAAGAAUUAAGCUACUAUGCUUGUGAUGGAUGAAGAAUUUGUGGUUUUAAGGAGGCCAAGGAAAAAAACAGGUGUAACCAAUCUGCAUCAUUACAAGGUUAACUGUUUCUACACUGUUAUGGAUUUGCAACUUCAAGAGCUUAAUGAUCGAUUUACUGAGGUAAACACUGGUUUGCUUAUUUGCAUGGCUUCUUUAAGUCCUGCCAAUUCCUUCUGUGAGUUUGAUAAGUCAAAGCUGUAGAGAUUGGUUAAGUUCUAUCCAGAUGAUUUUAGUUUUGGAGAGUGUCUAUCUAUGGAACACCAUCUUGGAAUCUACAUUGACAAUAUAAGAAACGAUGAACGGGUUAAGAAUUUGAAGAAUCUUGGAGAUCUUUCUCGGCUGAUGGUGGAAAAAAAAAGCACUUUGUACAUCCUUUAGUUUAUAGGCUCUUGAAGUUGGUUUUAACAUUGCAUGUUGCUACUGCAAGUGUUGAAAGGUGCUUUUCUGCAAUGAAAUUAGUGAAGACAGCAACACGCAACUGAAUUGGAGACGAGUUUCUAAGUGAUUGUUUAGUAUGUUAAAUUGAAAAGGAGUUGUUUGAAUCUGUUACAAACGAAACAGUAGUGAACCGAUUUCAAUCCAUGAGAGAGCGUAGGAUCCAUUUGUAAGGAUUUGUACUGUUUUAUGGCAAUGUUUUUUAUAUUUUAUCUAGUAGUUUUUAUUUCUGCCCCUGAUACAUAUAGUUUCCAGAUCCGCCACUGGGACCAACUGCUUUGCAGCGAUGUAUAUAGAUUUGGAGUUGUUCUGUACGUGAUCAUCAUGGGUCGUUGCACGAUCAAGCAAAUGAAACCUUUGGCUGAAUAAACUAUAUCAUGUAGAUAGCAAAAGCUUUUGAAUGAUAGUUGAGUGGAAUCUAUGAAGCAAGUACCCUGUUUCUACGGACAGAAGAGUGGCUGAUCAUUGUCUGAAG
Brassica napus (rape) is the source of this 5416-nucleotide RNA transcript. RefSeq lists it as uncharacterized. The record is from RefSeq and is a predicted model, not a curated record. NCBI's taxonomy places the organism in Eukaryota, Viridiplantae, Streptophyta, Magnoliopsida, Brassicales, Brassicaceae. The transcript has 8 exons.